CCAGUGACCGGCGAACGGGUGCGUAACACGUGAGCGACCUACCGUCUUGUGGGGGAUAGCCGGCCCAACGGCCGGGUAAUACCGCAUACGCGUUUCUGGCUGCAUGGCUGGGGACGGAAACUUCAGGGGCAGGGCGAGGGGCUCGCGGCCUAUCAGCUUGUUGGUGGGGUCAUGGCCUACCAAGGCGACGACGGGUAGCUGGUCUGAGAGGAUGGCCAGCCACAUUGGGACUGAGAGACGGCCCAGACUCCUACGGGAGGCAGCAGUGGGGAAUCUUGCGCAAUGGCCGCAAGGCUGACGCAGCGACGCCGCGUGUGGGAGGACGCCCUUCGGGGUGUAAACCACUGUUGCCCGGGACGAACAUGGGGUUUCGACCCCACUGACGGUACCGGGUGAGGAAGCACCGGCUAACUCCGUGCCAGCAGCCGCGGUAAUACGGAGGGUGCGAGCGUUG
RNAcentral lists this ribosomal RNA (454 nucleotides) under uncultured bacterium. RNAcentral describes it as "bacterial SSU rRNA". It matches the Rfam family "Bacterial small subunit ribosomal RNA", at positions 88 to 543 of the family's 1533-position model. The record is from RNAcentral.